Molecule: long non-coding RNA, 4260 nt
Filed under: Triticum aestivum (bread wheat)
Lineage: Eukaryota; Viridiplantae; Streptophyta; Magnoliopsida; Poales; Poaceae
Description: long non-coding RNA (TAES_LNC027043)
Source: RNAcentral
ACGCAGUAUCUUAUGCCCUUAAGAUCGGUACCGGGUCUUUUUUGCCGUCAUGGAAUCUGUAGUUUGGUCGCGUGGCUUUGCUUCUGUUGUUGUGGACAUUGUGCACGGUAACGAGUGCACAGGUUAUGUUAACUCAUAGACGAUCUGGGAUCACUGGUCUAGUGCCCUCAGAGCUGCUUUUCUCUCUAUCCGUUUUGUUUCCUUGCGAUGGUCUUGCCUCGCAAAUGGCCAAACGAAACGACGAAAGAGCUCGCGAAAAGCUGCUUUGUUUCUGUACAAAGUCAGUGUCGAAAACCUCUUGAGUGUAAGUGCACCGAUGCAGCUCUGCCGAUCCUGCUUGGGGAGAUAAAACUAUUGACACUGAAAUAUGAAGUGUAGAGUGAGCCAGAUAAGAUUGUUCCUUCCUACACCUAGAGCUCGAUUGGUGAUGAUGCCUGCCGUCUGAUCGAUCGCGACCACAUCGAGUGUGGUUCUCAGUUCAGUUGACAUGUGAGGUGCCGUGGUGGAGACGGAGUUCGGUUUGCAUGCUACUGCGCCGGAGCGAAAUGUUCCUCUUGCUCGAUGUCCACUUUAUAGGACAGGACCACUGAAUAGCCACAGUGAUAUAGAGUAGGGAUGAAAAUAGAGUGGAAACUUUCUGCUUUUCUGGCAAAAAAUGGAAAUGAAUUUUUUUUAUGCGGAAACAAAAACAAAAACGGAGUACUAGGAAAGAUAUGAUUUACAAGCAUUGAUUGAAGUAUGAGUAACAAUGACAAGCCUGGCACAUAUUGACUCUUUACCCUUUUUAGUUGUUUUUUUCCACAUGGUUUAACAACAAUUCACAUAACAGUACUGGAACGAAACCGGGUCUGAACUUUGAACACUCUUGUUACCACAUCAAACAGAGGCAUACGGAUGUUUGAACAACUCAUUUUGUGUCCUUUGCGUCUGUCUUCUCCUCUUGGUCCGCUUGGUGUCCACCGGCGUCAGUGAUAGCCAUCGUGUGCGUCACUUUGGCGGGCUGUGGAGCUCCUGCCAUGGAAAGCAUUUGCAUGGCCUGAUCUACAAUCACCUUCCGCGUCACCUCUAGCAGCACCUCUUCCAACUCAUUGUCGAGCGUAAAGCUUUCACGACGGCCGGGGAACUUAGCGCCGCCGAAGAUGCUCGCCGGAGAUAUGAGCGUCGGUUGGUAAUCCCAAAGCUCCACCGAAGCGGGGACAAAGAUACCUUGUAGUGGCUUUGCCGUCGCCCAUGUGCAGGCUAGCUGUGGUCACAAAGCAGCUCAUGGUCCGAUGAGAACACCGUCCUCGGUUCGCGGCAGCCAGCGGCACCACCAUGAGUUGGGCUUGGGCGCGACUAAAGCCGUGCUGACGAGGCCGUCCUUCCAAACCCUAGGAAGCGGCGGUCAACGCCCUCUCCGGCGUGCGGCAACGGCAGGGAGAACCGCACCUCCUCCUUGGUGGCCGGAUUGAAGACAACGCCGUCGACGGCCGGCCGCCCAUUGGAAUGGGCGGAAUCGUCGGCCAAGAGGACCAGCCCGUCGCACGUGCCGGCGUACGUGCCUCUGUCGAGGCUGACCGUGUGCUUGACGGCGAACGUGGGGCCGACGGCGUGGAAGUAGAAGCGUUUGUCGAGGCGGUACAGGCAAGCGGCACGAGGGAGCUCCGAGUGUGCGCCGAGGCGUCGGUGGUGGCGCCAGAAGUGUGGUAGCGUGAGGAGCUCCCGGAAGCGGUUGGAGAGAAGGACGCAGCGCACGGCGUGGCGGGCUGGCAGCCGGGCGAGGAUCUCAUCAGCGACGAACUCGUCCCCCAUGAGGAAGAGGGCCUGGUUUAUUUGAGACGCCAUUGCUUCAACGAGUUGCUCGUCUUUUCAUCUUUUGUGGACCAACCGACGGCCUACGUAUGUACUCGGCGCCUGUCCGUAUAUACAGCGGAAGCAUAUAAAGAGAACCGAUGUAGUAUUGCAGAAGCAUAUAAAAAGAGGACUAUAGUUUUGACCGUGUGGCUCUGCUUGUGUUAUUGUGGACAUUCUGCAAUCUGCACGCCAGUGAGUGGUGGCAUCCUGUAUUAGCCAGUGUCCCUGUUGAUUUUUGAAUGUGAACCGUUGCUUGCCACCUUCCCCACGUUGGGUUAAAUCACAAAAGAUCUGGGAUCACUGGCCUAGUGACCACAGAGCUUCCUUUGUCUCAAUCCGUUUUCUUCCCUUGUGUUGGUCUUGUGCUUUUCUGUCUCGCAAAUGGCCAAACGAGACGCCGAAAGAGCUCGCGAAAGGCAAAAGCUGCUUUGUUUCUAUACAAAUCGUGCUGUCUAAAACCUAAUGAUAGGCUGCGUGAGUCUCUUGAUUGAACAGCGUGCCAAUCCUACUUGAAAAAAAAAAGCCUAUUUACACUGAAAUACCAAGUGUAAACUCAGAGUGAGUCGGAUUGUUCAUUGCAUUAAUUGAAUGAAGUGCUCCUGCACCUAGAGCUUGCUUGCUGGUGAUGCUGCCUGCCGUCUGAUCGACCGCGACCACACCGAAUGUCGCUCUUGUUCUCAGUUAUGUCAUGUUAGGUGCUGUUAUGGAGAUCAAGAGUCCACUUUGCAUUGCAUGGUGAUGGUGCUGCACCGCGAAAUGUCCAUCAUCAUCAUCAUCGUGUAUCCCCGCAAAAUAAAAAUGAUGCUGUAUUCAUCGAACCCGCUUUGCAACCCGUAUUAGGGCGUUCGCCCAGCAAAAGCUUUAAUUUUGCGUGUCCAGGAGAAAUACAUUGCUUCCAAUUUUCAGCUUGGUGCCUACUGCCUAGCAUGUAUAGUAGGUGGAGAUUUGCUUUUCCAUCCAAGAUUUUUCUGAAGUUGAGCGUGUGCGGUGCCUCUCGCGUGAGACCCAGCUGCUAACCGUCCUCCGUUAUUACGCACGCAUCAGCAAUCCCACCAUUUCCCGCCUCCUUGUCCUAUCCUGCGCACACGCACUGCCUUUGUAUAUAACCGUGACCUCCUGCACUCCAGCUUCCAGCAGACUACUCAUAACUCGGGCCGCUCUCUCGGCGUACGUGUGAUCAUCUCGCCACGACAGAGCAGCGAGGCCACCGAGGUGAGGCGGGGACGUAGCGUACACAUGGCGAAGUUUGCUCUAGGGCACCACAGCGAGGUCACCGAGGCCGGCUGCGUGCGCGCCGUGCUCGCCGAGGCCGUGCUCACCUUCCUCUUCGUCUUCUCUGGCGUCGGCUCCGUCAUGGCCGCCGGUACGUAUGUAGUACAGUGAUGGCUGGAAACGCGUCCAUGCAUGCAUGUGUACCGAGAGUCUGGAACUACAAGUACAUGUGUUAUGUGUGUGCAGGGAGGCUGGCCGGCGGCGCCGACACGAUCAUGGGCCUGACGGCGGUCGCGCUGGCCCACGCUAUGGCGGUGGCCGUCAUGGUGUCGGCAGGGCUUCACGUCUCCGGCGGCCACAUCAACCCAGCCGUCACGCUCUCCCUCGCCGCAGGCGGCCACAUCACCCUCUUCCGCUCCGCGCUCUACGUGCUCGCGCAGCUGCUCGGCUCCUCCCUCGCCUGCCUCCUCCUCGCCUUCCUCACCGGCGGCGCGGUGACCAUGCCAGUGCACGCGCUGGCCGCCGGGGUGGGCGCGCCGCAGGGGGUGCUCUGGGAGGCCGUGCUCACCUUCUCGCUGCUCUUCACGGUGUACGCGACCGUCGUGGACCCGCGCCGGAGCGUCGGCAACCUCGGACCGCUACUGGUGGGCCUCGUCGUCGGCGCCAACGUGCUCGCCGGAGGGCCAUUCUCCGGCGCGUCUAUGAACCCGGCACGUUCAUUCGGGCCCGCGCUCGCCUCAGCGAAUUGGGCCAGUCAGUGGGUCUAUUGGGUUGGGCCGAUGGUCGGUGGCCUGCUCGCGGGGCUAGUAUAUGAGGGAUUGUUCAUGGUCCGGCCCGGCCACCAGCAGCUUCCCACCGAUGGCACCGACUUCUAGUUGAACACUGAUAUUCACUUUUCUCUACGCAUGGACAGCUUGAUACGCUAUAUCUUGUGAAAAUCGUCCAGAACUCGUCAGCUGUCUAGCAGCGUUCUUUUGUUGUUUGAUUUGCCCAAGAACAUCACGCCGCUAGGUGCUUUAUUUAGAGAAAAUAAGAGUCAUGUUGUGUGCUAGUUUGGAAAAUUCUAAAAUAUCUGAUGUACCAAGAUCAAGUAAUGUAGUAGCUCAUGAACUAGCUCUGCGUAGCGCUCAAUUAGGGAACAACAGUGAGGUGUGGGUUGGACAUCUACCACAGUUUAUACUAAACAUUUGUGCUAGUGACAUGUUAAAAAAAAAA